RNAcentral lists this ribosomal RNA (397 nucleotides) under uncultured bacterium. Its description in RNAcentral is "partial 16S ribosomal RNA". It matches the Rfam family "Bacterial small subunit ribosomal RNA", at positions 523 to 918 of the family's 1533-position model. The record is from RNAcentral.
AUACGUAGGUGGCAAGCGUUGUCCGGAAUUAUUGGGCGUAAAGCGCGCGCAGGCGGUCCUUUAAGUCUGAUGUGAAAGCCCACGGCUCAACCGUGGAGGGUCAUUGGAAACUGGGGGACUUGAGUGCAGAAGAGGAAAGUGGAAUUCCAAGUGUAGCGGUGAAAUGCGUGGAGAUUUGGAGGAACACCAGUGGCGAAGGCGACUUUCUGGUCUGUAACUGACGCUGAGGCGCGAAAGCGUGGGGAGCAAACAGGAUUAGAUACCCUGGUAGUCCACGCCGUAAACGAUGAGUGCUAAGUGUUAGGGGGUUUCCGCCCCUGAGUGCUGCAGCUAACGCAUUAAGCACUCCGCCUGGGGAGUACGGUCGCAAGACUGAAACUUAAAUGAAUUGACGGGG